AACGAACGCUGGCGGCAGGCUUAACACAUGCAAGUCGAGCGGGCCCUUCGGGGUCAGCGGCAGACGGGUGAGUAACACGUGGGAACGUACCUUUUGGUUCGGAACAACUCCGGGAAACUGGAGCUAAUACCGGAUAAGCCCUUGGGGGGAAAGAUUUAUCGCCAAAAGAUCGGCCCGCGUCUGAUUAGCUAGUUGGUGGGGUAACGGCCCACCAAGGCGACGAUCAGUAGCUGGUCUGAGAGGAUGAUCAGCCACACUGGGACUGAGACACGGCCCAGACUCCUACGGGAGGCAGCAGUGGGGAAUAUUGGACAAUGGGCGCAAGCCUGAUCCAGCCAUGCCGCGUGAGUGAUGAAGGCCUUAGGGUUGUAAAGCUCUUUUGUCCGGGAAGAUAAUGACUGUACCGGAAGAAUAAGCCCCGGCUAACUUCGUG
RNAcentral lists this ribosomal RNA (433 nucleotides) under uncultured bacterium. RNAcentral's name for it is "partial 16S ribosomal RNA". It matches the Rfam family "Bacterial small subunit ribosomal RNA", at positions 29 to 507 of the family's 1533-position model. The record is from RNAcentral.